AUACGGAGGGGACUAGCGUUGUUCGGAAUUACUGGGCGUAAAGCGUACGUAGGCGGAUCAGAAAGUAUGGGGUGAAAUCCCAGGGCUCAACCCUGGAACUGCCUCAUAAACUCCUGGUCUUGAGUUCGAGAGAGGUGAGUGGAAUUCCGAGUGUAGAGGUGAAAUUCGUAGAUAUUCGGAGGAACACCAGUGGCGAAGGCGGCUCACUGGCUCGAUACUGACGCUGAGGUACGAAAGUGUGGGGAGCAAACAGGAUUAGAAACCCUUGUAGUCC
Molecule: ribosomal RNA, 274 nt
Filed under: uncultured bacterium
Lineage: Bacteria
Description: partial 16S ribosomal RNA
Rfam family: Bacterial small subunit ribosomal RNA
Source: RNAcentral